UGUAACAGCAACUCCAUGUGGAAGUGCCCGCUGGUUCCAGUGGGGCUGCUGUUAUCCG
This 58-nucleotide microRNA precursor is filed under the name Dasypus novemcinctus (nine-banded armadillo). RNAcentral's name for it is "microRNA dno-mir-194 precursor". Its record names the gene dno-mir-194. It matches the Rfam family "mir-194 microRNA precursor family", at positions 14 to 72 of the family's 82-position model. From Rfam's summary of the family: The hairpin precursors (represented here) are predicted based on base pairing and cross-species conservation -- their extents are not known. In this case the mature sequence is excised from the 5' arm of the hairpin. Lineage: Eukaryota; Metazoa; Chordata; Mammalia; Cingulata; Dasypodidae. The record is from miRBase by way of RNAcentral.